ACUCCUACGGGAGGCAGCAGUGGGGAAUAUUGCACAAUGGGGGAAACCCUGAUGCAGCCAUGCCGCGUGUGUGAAGAAGGCCUUCGGGUUGUAAAGCACUUUCAGUAGGGAGGAAGGUAGUGUAGUUAACACCUGCACUAUUUGACGUUACCUACAGAAGAAGCACCGGCUAACUCCGUGCCAGCAGCCGCGGUAAUACGGAGGGUGCGAGCGUUAAUCGGAAUUACUGGGCGUAAAGCGCAUGCAGGCGGCCUGUUAAGUCAGAUGUGAAAGCCCGGGGUCUUAACCUCGGAAUUGCAUUUGAAACUGGCAGGCUAGAGUCUUGUAGAGGGGUUAGAAUUUCAGGUGUAGCGGUGAAAUGCGUAGAGAUCUGAAGGAAUACCAGUGGCGAAGGCGGCCCCUGGACAAAGCUGACGCUCAGAUGCGAAAGCGUGGGAGCAAACAGGAUUAGAUACCCCUGGUAGCACAGAG
Molecule: ribosomal RNA, 471 nt
Filed under: uncultured bacterium
Lineage: Bacteria
Description: bacterial SSU rRNA
Rfam family: Bacterial small subunit ribosomal RNA
Source: RNAcentral